RNAcentral lists this ribosomal RNA (369 nucleotides) under uncultured organism. RNAcentral describes it as "bacterial SSU rRNA". It matches the Rfam family "Bacterial small subunit ribosomal RNA", at positions 526 to 896 of the family's 1533-position model. The record is from RNAcentral.
CGGAGGGUGCAAGCGUUAUCCGGAUUCACUGGGUUUAAAGGGUGUGUAGGCGGGCUAUUAAGUCAGUGGUGAAAUCUCCGGGCUCAACCCGGAAACUGCCAUUGAUACUAUUAGUCUUGAAUAUUGUUGAGGUAGGCGGAAUAUAUCAUGUAGCGGUGAAAUGCAUAGAUAUGAUACAGAACACCGAUUGCGAAGGCAGCUUACUAAACAAUUAUUGACGCUGAGGCACGAAAGCGUGGGGAUCAAACAGGAUUAGAUACCCUGGUAGUCCACGCCCUAAACGAUGAUUACUCGACAUACGCGAUACACAGUGUGUGUCUGAGCGAAAGCAUUAAGUAAUCCACCUGGGAAGUACGUACCGCAAGGAUG